CGAGCGAACUAAUGGGAGCUUGCUCCUAAUGGUUAGCGGCGGACGGGUGAGUAACACGUGGGCAACCUGCCCUGUAGAUCGGGAUAACAUCGAGAAAUCGGUGCUAAUACCGGAUAAUUUCUAAAAUCUCAUGGUUCUAGAAUAAAAGAUGGCUCCGGCUAUCACUACGGGAUGGGCCCGCGGCGCAUUAGCUAGUUGGUAAGGUAACGGCUUACCAAGGCGACGAUGCGUAGCCGACCUGAGAGGGUGAUCGGCCACACUGGGACUGAGACACGGCCCAGACUCCUACGGGAGGCAGCAGUAGGGAAUCUUCCGCAAUGGACGAAAGUCUGACGGAGCAACGCCGCGUGAGUGAUGAAGGAUUUCGGUUCGUAAAGCUCUGUUGUUAGGGAAGAACAAGUGCCGUUCAAAUAGGGCGGCACCUUGACGGUACCUAACCAGAAAGCCACGGCUAACUACGUGCCAGC
RNAcentral lists this ribosomal RNA (467 nucleotides) under bacterium ANr55A. Its description in RNAcentral is "bacterial SSU rRNA". It matches the Rfam family "Bacterial small subunit ribosomal RNA", at positions 63 to 512 of the family's 1533-position model. The record is from RNAcentral.